CAUGCCGCGUGAGUGAUGAAGGCCUUCGGGUUGUAAAGCUCUUUCGGCAGGGAAGAUAAUGACAGUACCUGGAGAAUAAUCUCCGGAUAGUUCCAAGCCAGCAGCCCCGGCUCUACGCCGGCAGCUGGGGUUGUUCGGAAUUACUGGCGGUAUGCGCACUUAUUCGGUUUAUCGGGUCGGAGGUGAAAUCCCGAAGCUCAACUCGAAAACUGCCCUUGAAACUAUGGAACUGCAAUUGAGAAGAGGUGACUGGAAUUCCGAGUGUAGAGGUGAAAUUCGUAGAGAUUCGGAGGAAUGCCAAUGGCUAAGGCGGCUCACUGGUCGCGUAUUGACGCUAAUGUGCGAAAACUGGCGCUGCAAACAGGAUUAGAUACCCUGGUAGUCCACGCCAUACACUAUGAGUGCUAGCUGUCCGCGAUCAUGACUCUUCUGGUGGCGCAGCUAACGCAUUACUUUAUCCGCCUGGGGAGUACGGUCGCAGGAUUAAAACUCAAAGAA
Molecule: ribosomal RNA, 498 nt
Filed under: uncultured Erythrobacter sp.
Lineage: Bacteria; Pseudomonadati; Pseudomonadota; Alphaproteobacteria; Sphingomonadales; Erythrobacteraceae
Description: bacterial SSU rRNA
Rfam family: Bacterial small subunit ribosomal RNA
Source: RNAcentral